Molecule: small nuclear RNA, 102 nt
Organism: Synchiropus splendidus (mandarinfish)
Lineage: Eukaryota; Metazoa; Chordata; Actinopteri; Syngnathiformes; Callionymidae
Source: RefSeq, a predicted model, not a curated record
GUAACAGUUCGCUGUUACGUCAACUAAAAUUGGAACGAUACAGAGAAGAUUAGCAUGGCAUUAUAUGAUUUUAUGACAUUAUAUGACAUUUAAGAGUGUUGU